AUUGAACGCUGGCGGCAGGCUUAACACAUGCAAGUCGAGCGGGCGAGGUUGCUUCGGUAACUGAGCUAGCGGCGGACGGGUGAGUAAUGCUUAGGAAUCUGCCUAUUAGUGGGGGACAACAUUCCGAAAGGAAUGCUAAUACCGCAUACGCCCUACGGGGGAAAGCAGGGGAUCUUCGGACCUUGCGCUAAUAGAUGAGCCUAAGUCAGAUUAGCUAGUUGGUGGGGUAAAGGCCUACCGAGGCGACGAUCUGUAGCGGGUCUGAGAGGAUGAUCCGCCAGACUGGGACUUAGAAACGGCCAGGACUCCUACGGGAGGCAGCAGUGGGGAAUAUUGGACAAUGGGCGCAAGCCUGAUCCAGCCAUGCCGCGUGUGUGAAGAAGGCCUUUUGGUUGUAAAGCCCUUUCGGCGGGGAAGAAAUGGCAACGGCUAAUAUCCGUUGUUGAUGACGGUACCCGCAUAAGAAGCACCGGCUAACUACGUGCCAGCCGCCGCCGUAA
RNAcentral lists this ribosomal RNA (500 nucleotides) under uncultured bacterium. RNAcentral's name for it is "partial 16S ribosomal RNA". It matches the Rfam family "Bacterial small subunit ribosomal RNA", at positions 30 to 523 of the family's 1533-position model. The record is from RNAcentral.